RNAcentral lists this ribosomal RNA (275 nucleotides) under uncultured bacterium. RNAcentral's name for it is "partial 16S ribosomal RNA". It matches the Rfam family "Bacterial small subunit ribosomal RNA", at positions 399 to 691 of the family's 1533-position model. The record is from RNAcentral.
GCGUGAGUGAUGAAGGCCUUAGGGUUGUAAAGCUCUUUCGCCGGGGAAGAUAAUGACGGUACCCGGAGAAGAAGCCCCGGCUAACUCCGUGCCAGCAGCCGCGGUAAGACGGAGGGGGCUAGCGUUGUUCGGAAUUACUGGGCGUAAAGCGCACGUAGGCGGCGGUGCAAGUUGGGGGUGAAAUCCCGGGGCUCAACCCUGGAAUUGCCUCCAAAACUGUGCUGCUUGAGUUCGGAAGAGGAGAGUGGAAUUCCCAGUGUAGAGGUGAAAUUCGU